GUCGAAGGUGGGGCUGAUGACUGGGGUGAAGUCGUAACAAGGUAUCCGUACCGGAAGGUGCGGAUGGAUCACCUCCUAACAGGGAGACAAAACAAUGAUUUUGAUGUCUGAGUAUUUCAUUCUUAGGCCGAAAUCCUGUCACCUUAGGUCGAUCGGUACCUCAACAUUUUUCUAAAGAUUGGUGAGCAAUCAUCAAGAGAUUGGAAGGGAUGUUCAGUUCCUAAACUUUGUCUAGGUCACACCCCGCAAGGGAAGAGUCCCCUGGGCCAUUAGCUCAGGUGGUUAGAGCGCACCCCUGAUAAGGGUGAGGUCCCUGGUUCAAGUCCAGGAUGGCCCAUUCGGUGUUGGGGGUUUAGCUCAGUUGGUAGAGCGCCUGCUUUGCAAGCAGGAUGUCAGGAGUUCGAGUCUCCUAACCUCCACUGACAGAACUCAAUCUCCAUUGUCCGGUAACUCGGAGGAUGAACUCAAAGGUGUGUGAUUUAGAUGUGUCCACUAGAUAGGACCCUAGCUUCCUGUCAUUCCGAACAAGUAAUUAUUGCUUGAUUGGCUGAUAUGAUGCUGGGCUCAGAUUAAUCGAAAGAUUAAUUUGAUCUCUAGUAGAACCUUGACAACUGCAUAAGUAAGUCUGGAAAAACGAAGCAUCUUACAGAUGCAUUGUUUUAAGUCUGAAUUCUCGAAAGAGAGUUUAGAUCUAGAAUGAUGAAAAUUCUUUUAAGCAAGAGCCGAGACUCUUAGAUGUUCUUUUUAUCGUGUCGAGCGAUAAAGAGUUUGAUUUUGUUUUUAUGAGUAGUGAAAGCUGCUGAUGAAACCAGAAGAAUCUGCUUUCAACCGCAGUAAGCGUUUAAGAGGUUAAUUGGUCAAGCUACAAAGGGCUC
RNAcentral lists this unclassified non-coding RNA (875 nucleotides) under uncultured Synechococcus sp. Its description in RNAcentral is "partial may contain 16S ribosomal RNA, 16S-23S ribosomal RNA intergenic spacer, and 23S ribosomal RNA". The stretch from base 347 to 419 matches the Rfam family "tRNA". Lineage: Bacteria; Bacillati; Cyanobacteriota; Cyanophyceae; Synechococcales; Synechococcaceae. The record is from RNAcentral.